Galeopterus variegatus (Sunda flying lemur) is the source of this 75-nucleotide non-coding RNA. Lineage: Eukaryota; Metazoa; Chordata; Mammalia; Dermoptera; Cynocephalidae. The record is from the annotation of a RefSeq genome assembly.
GGCCGGUUAGCUCAGUGGGUUAGAUUGUGGUGCUGUUAACACCAAGGUCAAGGGUUCAAAUCUCCUUACUGGCCA